GGAUUAGAUACCCUGGUAGUCCUAGCUGUAAACGAUGGAUACUAGACGUAGGAACUGGAUUGACGGUUUCUGUGUCGUAGCUAACGCGUUAAGUAUCCCGCCUGGGGAGUACGGUCGCAAGACUAAAACUCAAAGGAAUUGACGGGACCCCGCACAAGCAGUGGAGCAUGUGGUUUAAUUCGAUGCAACGCGAAGAACCUUACCAGGCCUUGACAUCCUCGGAACUUUCUAGAGAUAGAUUGGUGCCUUCGGGAACCGAGUGACAGGUGCUGCAUGGCUGUCGUCAGCUCGUGCCG
RNAcentral lists this ribosomal RNA (296 nucleotides) under uncultured bacterium. RNAcentral's name for it is "partial 16S ribosomal RNA". It matches the Rfam family "Bacterial small subunit ribosomal RNA", at positions 775 to 1067 of the family's 1533-position model. The record is from RNAcentral.